RNAcentral lists this transfer RNA (74 nucleotides) under Erwinia phage phiEa21-4. It matches the Rfam family "tRNA". Rfam says of the family: Transfer RNA (tRNA) molecules are approximately 80 nucleotides in length. Their secondary structure includes four short double-helical elements and three loops (D, anti-codon, and T loops). RNAcentral also lists the same sequence under 10 other names. The record is from Rfam by way of RNAcentral. Lineage: Duplodnaviria; Heunggongvirae; Uroviricota; Caudoviricetes; Andersonviridae.
GGCGUAAUAUCCCAAUUGGCAGAGGAAGCAGGUUCAAACCCUGUUCAGUGUGGGUUCGACUCCCACUUACGCUA